GGGAAGCGCUGGGAGGUGGGUGGGAGUUGUGUAGGGAGUUAGAAAAGUUGCCGAACUCCUAAAGUUCGCAGUUUCCCAGAAAGAUCUGCCUGGGUAGUAUUUAGGCGUCAUCCGCACAACUCUUCAAAUUUCAAAGUAAUGCAAUCGGGAGAUCUGGGGAGGCGCGAAGUGGGCUGGAGACCCACUUGGAAUGAUUUGUAAUCCACGAGGAACUUCGCUCAGAUGCAAACAAAAGGAACUCAGCAACUUUCUCCAAACAGCAACUCCCUUCCCCGCCUCCUUCUUUCCCCGGGCAGGACAUUACAACCAACCUAACUUCCCAAAGGAAACAACCCCAGGCAAAUAUGACACCCGAGCAAGUGACAAGCGUUAGAGGCAGCCAGGAGGGCAGCUCUGAUUGGGGAUAGAUAGCCUUGGCUCAGCCGCCUUGCGAGAGGCUGCUGGAGACUCCGAAGAUCCCGAACUGGGCCGUGCAGGAGAGUAACGGAACGGAUUGCAGAACUGCGGCCGCUGCAGCUAGCGCGGUGCGCAAUGUGGAUUCCUUAAAGCUCUUAAGUUCUCCAUCAAAGCGCGACGCAACGUACGGGAGGGAAAGUUAGAGGCUUAGGUGCAAUGCAUCUCUCCAGACCUCCGGUUCCGACGAGGACCGGAGCACACGUUGCGUGCCGCGUACGGGCAAAGGCUGAGCCCCAAGGCUGCCGAACACAUUACACGUUUUAUACUCAACACAAAAGUGUGCGAGGGACUUUAUGGAGAAAAAGCAAUGCAGCUCCAGCAGUCCGGGAGGCGGGGAAAAGAAUACAGGCAGCACGCAAUUACUUAAUGCUACACUUUAAAAACAACACACAAAGCAUCUAAUUGUAUCUGGGUUGCGUUUGUUCCACGUUCGUCCGCUUCGGAAGCACAAACAGAUCUGUCACAUGAAACAUCGAUCAAACAAGACUAGGAAGAUUAGGAAGGGAACAACACACAACACGGAUGGAAAGUCAAGAAGCCACACAAAGACAAGACACGGACGGACACCAAUUGCCAACACACAGAAACGCAGCUUCGGGUACAGAACCAAAUCCUCGCCGAUCUCCAGCGCUUGUUCUGCGGCGGGCAGUAAAAAGACUGUAUUUUUUCCACUUGAAGACUGUUCUUGGGAAAGUUUCUUCUCCAUCCGAAGGUAACCUGGACAUUGGGAGCAAAAUUGGAGGCAGCAAUCAACUCUCUCACACACAAAGAUGAUUGACUUCUCUCUUGAC
This 1247-nucleotide long non-coding RNA is filed under the name Naja naja (Indian cobra). RNAcentral describes it as "lncRNA (ENSNNAG00000011296.1)". The record is from RNAcentral. Lineage: Eukaryota; Metazoa; Chordata; Lepidosauria; Squamata; Elapidae.